This is a non-coding RNA of Callithrix jacchus (white-tufted-ear marmoset), 5534 nucleotides long. Lineage: Eukaryota; Metazoa; Chordata; Mammalia; Primates; Cebidae. The record is from RefSeq and is a predicted model, not a curated record.
GUCUUCAGUUGCCAUCCUGUCCUUGCAGCCCCUGAGAGCUUCCUGAGGAGUGUUGAGCAGGAAAGGGUGGCCAGAGAGGAGCACCUGGAGCCUCACAGACAGCAGUGCCCACCACAGGGACAGGGAGAGCCACUGUCAGCUCUGCAGAGUGCUUCUGUGGUCGUCCACUGGGAGAGAAGAAUAACAUCCCCUGAGGGAGAGUGGGUGGAAUAUGCAGCAGGGCCUGAAAGACAUCCCUGGGGACAAGGCAGCCGGGCAAGGCUGGAUUGCAGGAAUGAUGGUGUCAGAAGGCCCCAAGCUUUGUUAUCUGGAAGAGAACGACCUGGUGGACUAGGAGGUCUGGGUGAUCACUCCGACCGAGAAGCCAAGGAUGAAAUACAAGGUAACAGGUCAAUGUGGGUGCUCCUGGUUGGCAGGUGGCUCUCUGUAUGAUUCAGUGACCCAAGCUCCUUCUGUCUUGUGGCUCUGCCAUCCCCUAAGACCUUGGAGUCCCCUGCAUCUGGCUCACAAGAAAGGAAAAUACGUGUAUGAAUCAGGUACAACCUCUUCUUAAACACUUUCAUCUAGACAUGACAUACAUUGCUUCCACUCACAAUCCAAUGGCAAGAACUAAUUACAUAUUCCCCCCUAGAUCCAAAGGAUGCUGGGAAAUGUAGUUUAUGAUUGGGCAGCCAUUCCCUAGAAACAACGCUGCCCAAGGAAGAAAAACAUAAAUUCUGGUAAACAUGAUGCCAUAAAUACUGAAGGAAGAGAGUUGCUAUGGUGCAUCUGUGUUACCACAGAGGAGUGAAGUCAGGCCACAUGCAAACCAGAAGACCACUGCCUACCCUGUGCCUUGAAGCCCUGGACAGGAACUUCGCAUGCCAUUGCUUCUUUGGGAUGAAGAGCUCUCAUCUGGGAAAAAGAAAUUGGUAACAGUUGAAUCUCAAGAGGUUUUUUCACCCAUGGAAGCCCAUGAGCCCAUGAAACAGAGGGUUUUCCUUGCCCUCUGGCUGCUUACAGUUUAACUUGGACUAUCAGGAGCUUGUGGCUCCUGCCUGGGUAGGGCCAUGUGGUUUAGGAUGAGAAGAAGAAAAGGAGGUGCCUGGUACCCAGAAUAAUGUGGUGCCCCAUGCUUACGUCUCUAGUGGCCUCAUCUCUGCCUCCAUCAUGAUGAGCGGAAAGACAGACUUCCUUUCUUGCCUGAAUUCCCUUCCACAGAUUACUUGAGUCUAAUCCACAUGGUUAGGAAUUUGCAAAACCUUAUGCCAUUCUACUGAAUAGACUUUGGAGCAGUCUGUUUCCAGAGAAUGUCUCGAAAAGGUGGAGAGAAAGAGAGUGAAAGAGGUGAACAAUCAGAGGGACUAAGGUGAGAAGAGACAGGCAGACAGACAUUCAGACAGGGAGUUCAAGGUAAGGAAAGAAAGAGCAAGUCAGGCCAAAAGUCCAAGGUGGAAAGGAGAAGGGAAGGGGAAGGAGGAGAUGCUGGAUGGGCAGGCCCAGGCUGGAGGUAGGGGUGCAAAGAAGAUGGACAGACAGAGAGACAGACUGCUUGUCCAGGGUACAAACAGAAGCUUCCCACACCCAGUCAUGAGAUAGAGAUGCAGAGGCACCCACCGAGACAAUGGCAUAGGGAGACAGAUGGUAGUAAGUUCCAGGGAGACAUGAUUCCAAUCAAGCCCAUUGAAAUGGAUUGGGAAGUUCAGGAGGCAGCAAAGCGUGGGAUUGGGAGGAGGUGGGAGGGGAGGGUCAUGGCAGAACAGGUUGAGUGAGCUUCUGCCAGGGACAGGGCUAGGGCAGCUGCUGACGAGAUCGCAGCAGCAUGGCCUCGGCAGGAAGAGCCCUCUGUUCACCCUUCCACUGCAAUUGGACUCACCUGACAGUGGAAUGAGUAAUGAGUUCAUUAAAACCUCAGUACCCUUUCCUGAAAAGAAGAUGAAUGUGGUUGAGAAAGGGAAGGCGUGUGCCUGCAUGCGUGUGGUGCCCACAGCAGCCCUGACACCCUGCUUAAGGCAAUCAUAUCCUUCUCCUGCUUAGAAGUCUCCCAAGGCUCCCCAUCCAUCGUGAGGGUCAAGUCUAACCCCUUGGCCUGGCAUUCAAGGCCUUUCCAGAGCUGGUCCCUGCUGCCCUCUUUGACCUCAGUUUGUACCACUUCCCUUUCUUACAGGGAAGCCAGUCUUUCCAACCUGCUGGUAGCUCCCCACAAAGGCACGACUAUAGCACAAGGCUCUCAUUCCCCAGGAGGUACUCUGCCUGAAAUGCCCUUCCCCUGCUCACAGGUGUGUUUGUGUAGUAAGCUCCUAGUCAUCAUUCUGAACCUUGUUCCAGGUCACUUUCUCUGCGAGGCUUCCCCUGUCCAGCAGAGCUGGUCAUGCCUCCUCUAUGAUACGUAGGCUCCAAGAAGCCCUGUUACAGAAUUCAUCAUUGUGAAUUUCCCUAGAUGCCCACUCCUCUGUAUCUCUGUAUUUCAUUAAUGUCUGUAUCCAGGAGGCAUGCACAGCACGGUGAGGUUAAGAGCAGAAUUUUACAAUCAGGGAGCCACGGAUUCAAAUCCCUGGUUGCACCACAUCAGAGGGGUUGGGACCCUGGGCAAGCCGCCUUGCUAAACCCUGGUUUUCUGGAACUCUGAAGUGGGGAUGAAUAUACCUACCUCCAGGGCUGCUCUAAGGAGAAAAUGAGAUGAUGUUUGCUUGAUGGAGUCAAAAAAUGAAACCUUGUGUCAAUAAUGGCACCAGAUUUCAGGUGGGAAGAAGGGGGCUCUGAUCUUUCAGAUUUCUGAGUGUGGAAAAACCUUUUCCCAUCCCACUCCACGCUCUGCCCCUCACCAGCCUGAACCUUGGAGGAUUGACUUCUUCCCUCCCAGCUUCAGUUUCCUCACAUAGAAGAUGAGGAUAAUAGUCUUCCCUAUGUUACAGGGUCAUUACAAGGAUUAAAGAAGAUUUUGCAGAUUGGAAACCUGAAGUGCCUGAAAUGGAGGCAUAAAGUUCAAAGUAAACAUGAGUGUGAGUUUUGGAAAAUGCCUUGAUAAACUAUUUGGGUGGAAGGAAACCAGAAGGCAGGUCUGGAGUUCAGGGCCAAGGGAGUGCAGAAUUGCUCUGCAUUGGUAAAGAAGAGGCUACUUUUUUCUCUUUUGUCUCCUUCCUUCUCUCCUUCCUUUCUGUCUAUAUGGUUUUUUUUUUUUAAGUUUGAUACGGCAUGUCAUAUGGUGACUUUUUAAAAAAAUGAUGUCAAAAGCCAGGCAUGGUGGCACAAUUCUGCAGUCCCAGCUACUCUGGAGACUGAGGCAGGAAAAGCACUUGAGCCCAGGAGUUCAAAUCCAACCUGGGCAACUAAAAAUAGAUAGAUAAAUAAACAAACAGUGAUAGGCUUAUGAUUGGCAGGCUGGGUAGUUGGUUGGUUUGCUGGCUGGCUAGGUGACUGGUUAGUCUGUGGAUUGGAUGGUGCAUUGGCUGGUUGCUUGACAGGGAAGGGAGAAAAGAGAGAAGGGAAGAAAGAAGCCAGAGAGCUGAGUAAGUGACCAGACUCUAUGUAAGGUGGGAUGGCCAGGGCAGAAUACCCAAGAGUGUGGCAGUGAAAAGAGUCCUUUAAGAACUGGGGUGGCUGAUAUCCCUGCUGCUUGCAUCACCACAGCUUCAAACAUGUCUCUUUUUUUCCCCUUAAAGACCAACGUGACAGUAAACUUAAAUUAUCUCUGCAGCUGCAAACCUUCCAGACAGUCCAUGCCAAGUCCACCAGUGACUCUUUGUGGAAAUCAAGGAAUGAGACUAAGUUCCAAAUCUUGUAACAGGAACAUGUGCAGAAAGAAAGACCUUCCAGAAAGUAAACUGACUCAGUGGAAACAGAAACUCAGAAUUAGAGAUGCCUUUGAAUGAACCCCCUCCUCAUAAAACACACACACACUGCCCUGGAAAUACAGAAACCACAAGGGGGGGGUUUAGGCUUUCUAUAAAUCAUGAAGUAAGGAUCCAAGUUGAUCUUAUCUAGCUCUUAAGGAGCAAAGUAUGCCCUGCUGGUACUUUAGUUGAAUCAGAAAAUUGCUUAGCACAGUAUUUGUCACUUAAAAUGUGCCCAAUAAGCAGACGUGGUCGUGGUAAGCCUCUGCUAUACACAAUAGGAUGAAGUUGGGAUGAACUUCACGAGGUGACCUAGUCAAGCCUUCAGAUGUUUGAGUUACCUCCUACUCUGCCCCCUCAGCACCUGGUAAGCAGUCCUUGGAUACUUCUAGGAACUGGGACCUCGCUCCCUCUCCAGAUGCCUGUUGGAUGACUCGGACUGCUGGGGGUCUUCUUUAUAUGGAUUUAAAGCCGGAAUCCUGUGAUUUCUACCCACUGGUUUUCCACAGAUGUUCUCAUCGCUUACGUGUGGGUUUUUUGUUGUUUCAGGCUUUGCUUUUUUAUGUCACAAGAAAUGUUGAAACAGUUUUUUCCAGCUGUGUAAUCUUCCUUGUCAUUUUUGCAGGCUUUUAGCAGGCCCUGCUGGCAUCUUUCAAGCUUAUCUCUAAUUCCAAAUACAUUAAAGAGGAAAAAAAAGGAAAGAGAGUAAAGUAUUUGGAGUCAAAUAAAGUUACCUAUACAUUUUGUUCUAACUUGUAGGGCAGUCGACAUGCUUUUACUCUGGUACCAACUCUUUCUUUUUAUAAACCUCCAUCACCCCAAAGGCAGUGAAGCAAUGGAAACCGGUCAGGACCUAGUAGUGGGAGGUCUGGGUUCUAAUCCCAGCACUGCCCCUCACGACCUGGGUGACCUGAGCAAACCACCCAUCCCCUCUGAGUCCAGGAAUAACAAUACUUACCUUGAAGUUAUGGGUGGAUUAAAGUAUUCAGAGUGCUUAAGCCAAUAUCUGACACAUGCUGUGUGCUCAAUGAAUGGCAAGAUUUAAACAGAAAUCUCUCCCUGGCUGAUUUCAUGGGGCUCUUAGCCUAGGGGAAUGCAAGCAAAGAGACAUCUGGUUCCUAUAACCAAGAAGCCUGAAAUCUCCUCGAGGUGGUUGGGUGGAAGCAUUUAUCCAUUUGUUGGUUCAGUCAAUGUACAGUAAGAACAUGAAGAGCCCCAUGCUCAAACAAAUUAGGGGCAUGGAUGAAAAACACAGGGCAGUAAUGUACACUAGAGAAAACACCCUUGACAGCAGAUAUAUCUGAUUUUGAACCCUUGCCCUGUGUGUUAGUCAGGGUUCUCCAGAGAAACAGAACCAAUAGGAUACAUAGAGAGAUAAAUAAGAGGGAAUUUAUUAUGGGAAUUUGCUCAUGCAAUUAUGGAAGCCAAGAAGUCCCACAACAUGUCAGUCUGCAAGCGGGAGAAUGAGGGAAGCUGGUGGUAUAAAUCGGUCUGGUUCUGAAGGCUGGAGAAGCGAGUCCCUGUGUCUGAGGGCAGGAGAAGCUGGAUGUCCCAGCUCAAGAACAGAAAGUGAAUUCUUCCCUCCUGAACCUUUUGGUUCUAUCUUGGCCAUCAAUGGACUGGAUGAUGCCCACUCACACUGGUGAGGGCAGAUUUUCUUUUUCUCUUUUCUUAUUUAUUUUGUUUUAUUUUAUUUUUUGAGACAGAGUCUCACUCUGUCAC